GACGAACGCUGGCGGCGUGCUUAACACAUGCAAGUCGAACGGAUCUCGGUCUUCGGGCCGGGGUGAGUGGCGAACGGGUGAGUAACACGUGGGUAACCUGCCCUUGGCUCUGGGAUAACUCCGGGAAACCGGGGCUAAUACCGGAUAUGACUCUGGUCUGCAUGGACUGGGGUGGAAAGUUUUUCGGCCAGGGAUGGGCCCGCGGCCUAUCAGCUUGUUGGUGGGGUGAUGGCCUACCAAGGCGUCGACGGGUAGCCGGCCUGAGAGGGCGACCGGC
This 277-nucleotide ribosomal RNA is filed under the name uncultured bacterium. RNAcentral describes it as "partial 16S ribosomal RNA". It matches the Rfam family "Bacterial small subunit ribosomal RNA", at positions 28 to 308 of the family's 1533-position model. The record is from RNAcentral.